GGGGGGGCGCGAAUGAGAGAGAUUUCGUUUGAAAUCCCUGCUUGUUAUCAUGAGACUGUCCGUACAUUGCAGACCCAUGACAAAAAAAAUUUAGGGCCUAAGUUGGAUUUUUGUAUAGGAGUACACAUGCUUUCUGAGUAUGUUACUGUCCGUUGAUUAAUCAGUAGGUGAGUUUAUUUGAACUACGAAAGUAUCUGUCAUUAAUCUGAAUUGCAGUCUGUCCUCUGAUAUUAUGUAAAUUUUUUAGAUUUUGCAAUUUGGCUAUAAACAUUUUCUUUUUCCAUGAGGAAUAAGUUGUAUCAUACACAGGGUGAUAAAAUUAAAUGCUUAAAUGUUGUUUUUUUAGCAUUUCCAAUAUGCACUCCUUAAAUUCUCCAUCAUGUUAUUUUUAUAAUUUAUGUUUAUAUGUUCUCCCACUCAUUUUCUUUUGUUAUAAAAUAAUAUUUCCAUAUUGGGAUAUUAUGAUUAAUAUUGACAUUUAAAUUCUGAUUGUGCUAAUCUGGCAUCAGAAUGUCUUUUUGUGACUACAAUCACUUGACUACAAUUGGCUGCUUAGUUGCUGAGAAUUGGUGAUUCAGUCAGGAAAAUAAAUGUCAGAAUUGUUAAGGAUCAAUUCCUAUCAUGAUUAUCUACCAUGAUACAUUUCCGAGGAUUUAACCCAAA
Molecule: unclassified non-coding RNA, 663 nt
Filed under: Hevea brasiliensis (rubber tree)
Lineage: Eukaryota; Viridiplantae; Streptophyta; Magnoliopsida; Malpighiales; Euphorbiaceae
Source: RNAcentral